CAGUAGCCGCGGUAAUACGUAGGGUGCAAGCGUUAAUCGGAAUUACUGGGCGUAAAGCGUGCGCAGGCGGUGUUGUAAGACUGAUGUGAAAUCCCCGGGCUCAACCUGGGAACUGCAUUGGUGACUGCAACGCUGAAGUGCGGCAGAGGGGGAUGGAAUUCCGCGUGUAGCAGUGAAAUGCGUAGAUAUGCGGAGGAACACCGAUGGCGAAGGCAAUCCCCUGGGCCUGCACUGACGCUCAUGCACGAAAGCGUGGGGAGCAAACAGGAUUAGAUACCCGCGUAGUCCCUGUCUCUUAUAC
This 301-nucleotide ribosomal RNA is filed under the name uncultured bacterium. RNAcentral describes it as "partial 16S ribosomal RNA". It matches the Rfam family "Bacterial small subunit ribosomal RNA", at positions 509 to 807 of the family's 1533-position model. The record is from RNAcentral.